This 21-nucleotide microRNA is filed under the name Ovis aries (sheep). RNAcentral describes it as "oar-miR-376c-5p". Its record names the gene oar-miR-376c-5p. The record is from miRBase by way of RNAcentral. Lineage: Eukaryota; Metazoa; Chordata; Mammalia; Artiodactyla; Bovidae.
GUGGAUAUUCCGUCUAUGUUU